CGCAAUGGGCGAAAGUCUGACGGAGCGACGCCGCGUGGAGGAUGAAGUACUUUGGUACGUAAACUCCUUUUGCCAGGGAAAAAGUUAUUGGUUGUUCCUGGAGAAUAAGAGGGUUCUUAACUUGUGCCCGCCGCAGCGGUAAUUCGAGUGCCUCCAGCGUUUUUCGGAAUUUUUGGGGGUAAAGGGGGGGUAGGGGGGGAUGUUUGUUUCUUGUUAAAAUUUCCGGCUCAACCGGAAUCAUGCGAGGGAAACGGCAUUACUUCGAGGAAGGAAGGGGUCUCUGGAACUCAUGGUGUAGCGGUGAAAUGCGUUGAUAUCAUGGGGAACACCAAAAGCGAAGGCAAGAGACUGGUCCGCUCCUGACACUGAAGCACGAAAGCGU
Molecule: ribosomal RNA, 382 nt
Filed under: uncultured organism
Description: partial 16S ribosomal RNA
Rfam family: Bacterial small subunit ribosomal RNA
Source: RNAcentral